AGUCCACCGCCUCAUCUACCUCUCUGCCUCAUCUUUGUCGGCGAGGAUGGCCACCACGCAGUCCGGUGGCAGCCUCCUCUCUCCUGUCGCUUCUCCGUCUCCCCUCUCGCACCAGCAACUCUAGUGAAAGCCGCCGAGCAGACCACUGGUAAGCACCGGCAGCAGCAGCGAAAGCUCGUUGCUCUCUCUCUCCCUCAACUGCUCCGUCCAUCAGGGACGAACGAUAACAACAAACUCCGGCGAGAAUGCGAAGCCAACAGCAAGCAGCGAACCACCAUGUAACCGACAGCGUUGGUGGAAACUCCAAAUUCCACCCUUUUAUCUGGUUCCGGCGAAACUCCAGCAGCAGGCGAAGUGAACAACAAUAGCCCUAGCAAGCGGCAGCAACAAUGGUGCUCCAUCUGGCGAACCCCUUUUUCCCAAAAAAUUCGAGUUUAUUUAAGAUGGAUGUUGACAGAUCCGUCCAGCUACAAAUAAUAUUUGACAAGAAAGUUUAACCUGAGAUCAACAUGGCGAUCAAGGCUUGUCCAAUAUCACUAACUUUGGAAGAAAGGAUUGGACACGGAUAACUCAGUUCUAGGAAGAAAUCCAUUUAAGAAAUGAUUACCAAUAUUCAUAUAUAUUCAAAUGGCAAAAGAUUGCAGUUGGAUUCGUGCGGAGCAGCUUGGGAUUUCAGAGAUUAGGGUGAGCUUCUGGCGUCUGGAGCUAUCAGUUUCCAUCUGUUUUGUCUAGGGUUAGUCUUUAUAUUGUAUUCAGACGUAUCCUGUACUUGCCUUGUAUUUGUGCAAGUCGUGUACUCUUAUUUUUCAUUAGAUGCUCAACUAUUGAUUGAUGUUAGCUCUUUGGAUGGUUCAUAUAUUAUUUUU
Molecule: long non-coding RNA, 866 nt
Organism: Solanum tuberosum (potato)
Lineage: Eukaryota; Viridiplantae; Streptophyta; Magnoliopsida; Solanales; Solanaceae
Exons: 3
Source: RefSeq, a predicted model, not a curated record